Molecule: long non-coding RNA, 538 nt
Organism: Oncorhynchus tshawytscha (Chinook salmon)
Lineage: Eukaryota; Metazoa; Chordata; Actinopteri; Salmoniformes; Salmonidae
Exons: 2
Source: RefSeq, a predicted model, not a curated record
CAGAACCUUACACACCAUCUUGACAACAAACAAAAAAAAUGGAGACAUACUCCACAGGGAAGAAGUCAGAUUCUGAACCCCAGUCGUUACUGAAAGGAGGAGAAGCCAGUACAUUGUGGUUACAGGUUACUGUGAAUGACGACAUGAACCAUUAUAUGCUCACCACAUGCUUGCUGCGCUACCUACACCCAUAUUACCAAUGUUGUUGUUAUUACACAUUUUUAUUUACAAUGUUGUAAUUUAUUGUAAAAACAAAAUGCAAUGUUUAGCUAUUACUCAGGACAAUAAUAAAUCCCAUUGGCUAUUUAGCCAUUCUAUAUCCAGAUAUUUAAAUAUUUCUACUGUUACAUUGGUCAGCGUUAGAAUGCAUUCUCAGUGUGGUGCUUCGGUUAGUUUUGAGACUACUAACCCUUAGCCUACUAUUCAAUUGAUUUACUUUAAAUUGAAGGAAUGUAUUUAUUCCCUUUAAAUUCAGGUUGUAUGCUGAUUCUGUAUUUUUCUACUUGAACCAAAUAGUAAAAUAAUCAUAUUUGGAGGA